Molecule: unclassified non-coding RNA, 268 nt
Filed under: uncultured fungus
Lineage: Eukaryota; Fungi
Description: sequence contains ITS2
Source: RNAcentral
CCCCCCACUCACAACCCCACCCCCCUCGUGUGGUGGUGGUGGUUUGGAUCCAAUGAGUCAUGCGUGUGUAUUGUGUUGUGUGUUGUAUCCACACACACACACACACAAAUACGCUGACUUGAAGUGUACACUGAAUCGGGCCUAUGUAUACUGUACAUGCGGCACUGACGUGAUAGUCUCACAUGUUUGGGAACACAACUCGUCAGGCACACAAUGCCACGUGUCGGUCAUAGUGACCUAGUCACACACACACACCACAUACACCAAA